CCUACGGGUGGCAGCAGUGAGGAAUAUUGGUCAAUGGGCGGAAGCCUGAACCAGCCAAGUAGCGUGCAGGAUGACGGCCCUACGGGUUGUAAACUGCUUUUAUACGGGAAUAACACGCCUUACGUGUAGAGCUUUGCAUGUACCGUAUGAAUAAGGACCGGCUAAUUCCGUGCCAGCAGCCGCGGUAAUACGGAAGGUCCGGGCGUUAUCCGGAUUUAUUGGGUUUAAAGGGAGCGUAGGCCGCAUGUCAAGCGUGCUGUGAAAUGUUCGGGCUCAACCCGGGCCUUGCAGCGCGAACUGGCGUGCUUGAGUCCGCGGAAGGCAGGCGGAAUUCGUCGGGUAGCGGUGAAAUGCUUAGAUAUGACGAAGAACCCCGAUUGCGAAGGCAGCUUGCUGCAGCGGAACUGACGCUGAUGCUCGAAAGCGCGGGUAUCGAACAGGAUUAGAUACCCCAGUAGUC
Molecule: ribosomal RNA, 460 nt
Filed under: uncultured bacterium
Lineage: Bacteria
Description: partial 16S ribosomal RNA
Rfam family: Bacterial small subunit ribosomal RNA
Source: RNAcentral